GCCGUCCUGCCUCGCCGGGAGGGACACGGAGCUGCCGCCGCCGCGAUCUGGGUCACCCGGCGCGGCGCCCGGCGAAGAUAUGGCAGGUGUGCAUAUAGAUCCAGAGAAGUAAAUGAAAACCAGAUUACAAGAGCAGCAAGUGGGGUGACCCAAGUAUCCAACCAUGUUUUGUGUAGAAAAUUUCAACUUAGAGUUGCACAGCUAUUCUUCUUACGAAGAAGGUAAACCAAUUGCAUGAGCAACAGCUAACAAGACCUCCUGAGAUGAUGCCUGAACUGAACUGAAAGGAUGGAGGUCUAGUUUAAGGAAUACAUUGCAAUAUUCUCUCCAGUCUCACUGGAGGCCCCAAGGAUCUCACUUACGAUGGAAAUGAAAUAUUUAAUUCUUUGUAUGUAAACAAUACUAUGUCUUUAAAAAAUAACUUCACAGAUUGUGUCCAGGCUGCAAGCACCACAUCCUUAAAAAUGUAUUGAUUGAUGAAGUAGACAGAAUUAGUGCCUGAUAUUCCAUUAUUGUCCUUAUGAUACAUUUGUGCCCUAAAGUUAUAACUGUGAGAAAUGAUGGUUUCCAAAGAUACGCAGGAAAGCAGGCUGCCUGCCCAGUGUAGAUAUCAGGGAGGAUCCCUGUGUAAGGUCGCAUUGCUUUCUGCAUGCCUAUGAAAUCCUAAUUGCUUGUGACAGAACUGAAUUUUGCCAGGUUAGUGUAAGAUUUUGACUGUAGGGCCAGAAGAGUAUAAUAUAAUUCCAACAGUAAUUAAAAAAAAUAUAUAUUUCCUAUUUCUUUAUGGAAAACAGGCAUGAAGAGUGAAACUGUAAAGUACAUGCAGACUUUGAAGAAGAGUUGAUAAUUUUCAGUCUUCAUGUCAGAGAAAACAGAAAUAUUUUGUUUGAAUCUUUCUAACAACAUUGCUUUCAAGGCUAAACUAAACCGUGUGUUCACUGAUUUGGAAUGUUUCUUUCAGUACUUCAUAUUACUUUUCUGACACCCUGAAAAGUGUACUAGAUUGGCACAAGAUCUUCCUUUGCCUGAACUGCAGAGAAAGAGUCACGUGGGCAGUGAAAGCAACAGUUCUUGUUCAGCAGAGAAUUAUCAUCUCUUCUUCAAAGCCUGCAUGGCUUUGGAAAGAUUUAAAGCCCCAAGUCUCCAAGAUUGUUUACGCCCAGAGAAAAACUAGAAAAUUAAAACCGAGGACAAAACAA
Molecule: long non-coding RNA, 1199 nt
Organism: Pseudopipra pipra
Lineage: Eukaryota; Metazoa; Chordata; Aves; Passeriformes; Pipridae
Exons: 2
Source: RefSeq, a predicted model, not a curated record